CUCGCCGUGUGCAUGCGCACUUUGGGGACGUAGUCGUCACUGGCGUGAAUGUCUUUAUCUUAGCACGUUUGCGGCCCGGCGAGAGGCGGAAGUGGUGACGUAAUUCUCAGGUAAAGAAGAUGCCAGCCAAGCAUUUUGUAUCCAGUGAAACUGACUUUGAAGUGAAAAAAGCCAGGGAAUCUUCAGCUUUUUCUGAAAGAUCUGUCAGAGUUUGAGCUUCAGAUAGCCUAAUGACCAGAGGGACAUCGACAGAAGGACUGGUGAGCAUUAAAAUUCUAUAAACCUGAAGAGUAAGCUUUAAAAAAAAUCGUCAGAGGAAAGGAAUUUGUAGAAAUAAAACUGGAAACAUCGAGAAUCUUGAUGGUGUGCCAAACCAGAUGUCAACUGGAGCUCGACCAAAACCUAAACAGCCUUUUCUUUGGCUUUCAUAACAAACGUAAUUGUGAGGAAAUCUAUUCUCUUCUGUUUCUCCACAUUCCUCACCAAGUGCUCUCUGGCAAACGAAGCAAAGAGAGAGCAGAUUCCAUAUAGAGUACACCUAUAUGGAAACAACUGCCUAGAAGAUGAGUCUUCCUGACAAUCAUGAAAGGUAGCCAUUUUUAUUUGUAUGGCUUCCAUAUUUGGAAAUGUUCUGUGUAAAUCAGUAUGUUUUGCACCUUACUUUACUUAAUUUCUUAUUUAAAUAACUACAUAAAAUAACAGCUGGCAACUCCCUGAACCACCACU
Herpailurus yagouaroundi (jaguarundi) is the source of this 726-nucleotide long non-coding RNA. RefSeq lists it as uncharacterized. NCBI's taxonomy places the organism in Eukaryota, Metazoa, Chordata, Mammalia, Carnivora, Felidae. The transcript is spliced from 6 exons. The record is from RefSeq and is a predicted model, not a curated record.